GUUACUCCAACAGGGAAAGUCCAAGAUACAACAGAUAAGAUGUCCCUACAACCAUCCAAACAGAUGAGGAAAGAGCUGAAGGAACCCCUGCAGACAAGAGAAGAGAUGGACAUAGAGCUUCAGUGGAAGGUGGCAAUUCCUGAAGGAAGCACUCCAUCUUCAAUGCGAGCCCCAGCUGCAGGAAGGAAGGCAAUGCCAGACACGGGCACAGGCACAGCAGACUGGGAUGCUGGGAAGGAUUCUCUAUUAGCCUGGCGCUCUGAAGUUGUGAAG
Passer domesticus (house sparrow) is the source of this 273-nucleotide long non-coding RNA. RefSeq lists it as uncharacterized. Lineage: Eukaryota; Metazoa; Chordata; Aves; Passeriformes; Passeridae. The record is from RefSeq and is a predicted model, not a curated record. The transcript is spliced from 3 exons.